ACAUCCAGCGAACUUGGCAGAGAUGCCUUGGUGCCUUCGGGAACGCUGAGACAGGUGCUGCAUGGCUGUCGUCAGCUCGUGUUGUGAAAUGUUGGGUUAAGUCCCGNAACGAGCGCAACCCUUAUCCUUUGUUGCCAGCGAUUCGGUCGGGAACUCAAAGGAGACUGCCGGUGAUAAACCGGAGGAAGGUGGGGAUGACGUCAAGUCAUCAUGGCCCUUACGAGUAGGGCUACACACGUGCUACAAUGGCGCAUACAAAGAGAAGCGACCUCGCGAGAGCAAGCGGAACCUCAUAAAGUGCGUCGUAGUCCGGAUCGGAGUCUGCAACUCGACUCCGUGAAGUCGGAAUCGCUAGUAAUCGUGGAUCAGAAUGCCACGGUGAAUACGUUCCCGGGCCUUGUACACACCGCCCGUCACACCAUGGGAGUGGGUUGCAAAAGAAGUAGGUAGCUUAACCUUCGGGAGGGCGCUUACCACUUUGUGAUUCAUGACUGGGGUGAAGUCGUAACAAGGUAGGCGUAGCGAG
Molecule: ribosomal RNA, 526 nt
Filed under: uncultured bacterium
Lineage: Bacteria
Description: bacterial SSU rRNA
Rfam family: Bacterial small subunit ribosomal RNA
Source: RNAcentral